GUGGCAGGCACUUCAGGUUCUAUAAACUUCAUCAAUAUGAAAGAUAAACUAGCACAAGUUUAAUAUUGAUAUGAUAAUUACAGUUUCAUUUCCCCUGCUUUGUAUCUCUCUCUUUAAUCACCUUUCUACUUUUGCAAUGAUGGAAUUAGUGAGUUUCUUGGAGUUGACAACAAAUUUCUUUGCACAACAUUAGGGAUAGUUGAUUCUUUGUUAACUGUUGGUAUGUUUAUUUAUGCGAUAUAAAUAUGAUAUCCUGUCAUUCUUAGAUCCUAUGAAGGUAUAUUUGAUUGGAAUUGUUCUAAGUUUUUUGAAAUAAUUACUAUAUACACAACAUUUUCAGGAUAUCGUAUGGCAGCUGAAGCUGCUAGGAACGCGUUGCUGGAAAAGGUUAUGGAUAAUAAACAGGAUGCUGGUAAUUAGUAUCUACUUCUCAUUCUCACUUUUGAAUUUGGUAUUUGCCCCUGAUAUAAGUAUCAUGAUUGCUGGUUCAUCAAUUCUGAUAGCUUGUUGCUCCCUAUUUAACUCAAAUCUGUUUCAUAAUCAUAUGUUUUUUUAAUUCAUAAAAGUCUAUUCCAUAUGAUUGUACACUUACUAGAAUAAUUCUCCAUUUGGCCUAUCUAGAAGUUUUCGUUUCUUGAUGUAAUGCUAUUAUCCUUUACAUUUUCUAACUGGCUUCACAUGGAAAUCACCGGCAGAUUGCAUUGUUAAGUGGAAAAUGAUUCACUAUACUUUUAAGCAAUUAAUUGGUCUAAAAUGAAAAGGUGAUAAGUUUUAUAAACUAUGGAUUUAACUUGAAUGUAUGAUUUAUUAGUUGAAUUUUGAUAUGAUGGCAUUGACAUGUCUAAUGUUCAUCCUUGGUGAUCUUGCAGAUAAAUUCAAAGAAGACUUAUUAAAGAUAGCAAUGACCACUUUGAGUUCCAAAAUUCUCUCUCAGGACAAAGAACAUUUUGCAACACUAGCUGUCGAUGCAGUUAUGAGGCUAAAGGUAAAGUUAUUUGCUCUUAGUUACUUGUGAAUUUGAUGCCUUGAGUGUGUUACAUAGGCUAUUUUGUCAUACCUGUCUAUUCUUGUCUCCUGGUAAUAGUAAUUUAGCUAUUAAAAAUGGUUGGAAACUUCUGAAACUGAUGAAAAGAUUUUAGCUGCAUUUACUGAUGGAUGCUGGACAACUUUGUGAGUUCUAAAUUUGUUCUGAUCAAAUGAAUACCAAUAUACCAUUGCAUAACAUCAGUGUGGGACAUCUUGGGUGUGAUUCUCUUCAAGCAUUUACAGACACUAAGGGUCCCUUUGAUUGUAAAGAUGAAAUUUGGGUGGAAAAAACGAAUUCCGGGGAAUUGAAUUGCCUAGAAAUUGUUUUUCUGAGAAUUGUAAAUUAUUGUGUUUGAUUGGUAUAAUUUUUCACGUGAAAAAUGUUGAAAUAAAAGUGUUUUUUGGUGUUUGUUUGGCUUUGUUUUACAUGAAAUUUGUCAAUUGCCUUCCAAUGUAAAAAUGCUGUGCCUUCUGAUUUUAAAGCUAUUCCAGACUUUGUCUUGACUUUUCAGUCUUUUAGUGUUGUAAAUUGCGUAGUUUUUACUAUCCCAGCAAAUGUUGCCUUGUUUCUUUCACAGAAAAUGUUGGUCAGACAACUGGUUUUAAAUAAUAGAAGUAAUUGUUCUGAAAGUAGACACUGGGCUAAGCUUAAUUUGGUUUUCUAAUGUGUGAAGUAAUUUGUGCAGUUCUACAUUUUUUUUAAUAUAUAAUUUGGGUUUAGUUUCUGAAGCUAUGUAUAACACUUCUAUGCUUACUGUAUGCACACGACACUUUUGAUUGAUUAAGUUCUCUUCUGAAUAUCUCAUCCAACAGAUUGAACUUGAACGAGUGGUUCAGAGGAUUGAAAACCAAAAUUCAGCUGGAGAAAUUUUCCACUCUAUGGUUGAAAGUGCAUUGCAUCAAUAUGGUCGUGGCAGUGCUGAUCUUGUAACUGAAUUGUGCAGUGAAGGCAGGCUUUCACAUGUAAGAAUUAUGUCUUUCACUAUUGGUGAAGUGAAGGGAUAUUUGCAUUUAUGUGUCUUUCUUUUUGGUGACUUGCAGGAGUUCAUGCAAAUGCUCAGUCAUGACAUUUCCCAAAGACUUAAAGAUGAAGCAGGAUCAUAGGCAAAAGAAUUUCUGUUCUUUUACAUGUGAUAUGAAUGUACUUCAAGUAGUUGGGUUACUACAUGAGUGCAAAAUUUCUUAGUACGUUGUGAUUUUUGCCUGUGGUUGAUUGCUAAAAUAUAGUUACUAGAAUGUUGUGUUCUCUUUGAGAGUACGAAGAGCUGUGCAGUUGUGGAUCAAUGAAUUGACACAGAUCAUGGUUCAUUUGUAAGAGAAUUCAAUUGGACUAUUGAUAUCUCCGAGCCGUACAUCUUAACCUCUUCGAGGUUCAUUUGCUUGCUUUUGAGUUUCCUUUUCCCUGCUAUUGAACCUCGACAAAUUGAGUUCUAAAUCUGCUUUAUGUUGAUAAUCUUUCCACGAUCUUGUUGAAAGGCGAUGCCUUUCAUAAAUUUUUGUGGUGGUUAUGUUUGGAUGUUAGAGAUUCAUACGCUAAAUGUAAUACGAAAAUAUCCAUGUUUUGUUUCGCAUGAAAUUAAAUUCAUGGUGUGAAACUUUCUAACGAAAGUUAAUGGACAGAUGUAUAUUAAUCGAUAUCGUUAGAAAUUAUUUUAGAAAUACAAUCAGUAUAUUGAUAUGACAAUUUUUUAUUUUUUUUGGAAAUUUGAUUUGACGAAGUAUGUUAAUCUAUAAUCUAUAUCUAUGACGUAUAGUAAAGUAUGGAUGUUCGAGAACCAUUUUUUGGCGAUAAUAAUGUUCUUAAUCAUAUUUUUAAACUUCGCGAUUUACCUGUCAUUCUAUGCUAUUAAAAAAUUAAUUUUAUCUUACAACUACUUAUUUUUUACAGAAAAAAAUUUAUUUAUUCAAAUACGCAGUAACAAUGAAAGAUAAAGAUGCAUUCAAUUGGAAAGUCGAAUUAAUAAACGAGGUUGCCAAAGGGUAAAGAACAUAAUAGAUUUAGAAGUAUUUACUUUGUUGAUCUGUUUAAUUCUCCACGUGCAAUGUAUAAAUGGGGAGUCUUUACUUGACGUUCCUCUCCCCCUCAUUCAACACUUCCUUCUUUACAAGACAGGAAAAUAUAACAUGAAAAAUCAUCUAAAUGAUCGUACAUUUUCAACAAUCUCGAGUUCCCAGCCAUUGCCUUGACAAAUAAUCGAAAGUAGAAAGUGCAUUACGGAAAAUAUGCCACACAAAUAUUCAAAUUUCUUGAGGAACUUGGGAGUUCGAUCUCUUCCAUCCAGUUGUAGAGAAAGUAAGCCUGACCACUUGGAUACAACUUAUAAUUAUUAGGAAAAUAUGAUACAUGAAUUUUAGCUUAUUUAUUAAAAAGAGAGUAAUUGAGACUCUAAAAUAUUCUAACAUAUAUAAAUAAGAUUUUAAUUAAAAAAAAUUACUCUUAAAUUUGUGAUUAUAAUUUAUAUCAAUGCCAUUUAAAAAAAAAAAAAUGUUGUCUUGUGAUUACAGCUCGCACUGCUAUGUGUACAUUAAGAUUUAUAUAAUGUCACGUAACAUUAUAUCCUUUAUUAGUUUAAAAUAUAAUCAAUUUUUUUUAUCUAAUAUUUUCCCUCCCACACCAUAUUUUGUAAUCCGUUAUGUACAUUUUUUUUAUGUACAAGUAGCAAAAGAAGAAAUUACACCGUAAGUGGUAUUUAAAGAUGACGCUUCUAAAAUCAGGUAUUAAGUUUAUUUGAGCAUAAAUUAGGUAUUAAUGAAACCAUAUUGUAGUCUCUCUCAUCUCUCCCUUUCCCAUUCUUGCACUGUCGUCAUCGAAGCUCCGACAUAAGGUUGUGCAUAACGACGUUUUGAUCGAGGCCAGUCACUUAUGGGUUUGGGCUUGGAGUGAUUCAAAUCAAUGUUUAGAUCGUUGUUGCUGUUUAUAGAGGCCCAUCUUGAAUCAAGGUAGCUGUUUAGAGAUAUGGGGUUAUUCUAGAUUUCUGGUUUAUUAUUAUUGUUGUUGUUGUUGGCGGUGGUGGUGUUGUGAAAAUGAUGGUGGUUGAGGUGGUUUUUGGUUGUUUAUGAGUGAUGAUGGAGGUGAUUGUUCAAGUGAUAAUAACAGUAGUGGUUUUGUCAGUUGUAUUACAUGAGGCAUUGGUUUUGGUGAACAUGGGAUGAGGUGCUUGAAGUGGUGGUUGGAUGUGGUUUUUGUGAAGGUUUGACAGCAAUUUUGUGGUGAUUUUUAUGAUGUUUUGACGUUGGUGAUUAACUUGGUUGUUGGUUGUGGUGGAUCAAUGUCCAUUGUUGGUGAUGGCAGAGGUAAGCAUGUCAUAGUCGAUUGAGUUUCUAUGACUAAAUAUCUUGAAUAUGUGACCUAUCAAAGUACACGGGUUAUAUGUCAAAGUGUAUAGGUUACAAGUCACAAAUACCAGAAAUUUGGUUACAGACCAUUUGGACUAUGUCACAUAUUGAAGAGAUUUGAAGAUUUGUUCGCCUGCCAUUGGAUCAAGUCAAUGACACAUGUAACAGGGCACACGUCGAAGUGUAUAGAUCAUAGGUCAUGGAUUCAAAUGAUUUGGUCACAAACCAUUACUUCAGGUUACAUGUCACGAAUCCAAGAGAUUUGGUUAUAGGUCAUUGGAUCAAGUUAUAGGUCAUAUGUCGAAGUGUAUAGGUAGGGAUGUCAAACGGGUCGAACGGCUCAUCGGCUCGGCUGCUCGGCUCGUCAAAACCCGGCUCGUGGGCGGCUCAGGUUUGUCAUUUGCCGAGCAGGGGGCUCAAUCCCACGAGCCGAGCCUGCUCGGCUAGUCAAACCCACGAGUGGCUCGUGGGCACACGGCUCGUGGGCUCGUUAAAAAAUAUUAAUUUUUUUUAAAAAAAAUGUUGACUCGUGGGCUCGUCAAAAAAUAUUAAUUUUUUUUAAAAAAAUGUCCAAAAUGUGCAAGUUACCAAAAAAAAUUAAAAAGAAUUACGAGCUCACGAGUUGCUCGUGAGCUCGGCUGGGCCAGCGAGCUCGUGAGCCAAGCCGAGCUCGUGGGUUAAAGGGUCGAGCCGGCUCGGUCCAUUGCCAUCAUUAUGUAUAGGUCACGUGUCACAAAUUCAAGAAAUCUAGUCAUAUACCAUUGAUUUUUCUGACCUUAGUUACUCAAGUUGGUCACAAAUUCAAUUAAUCAAAUUUUGACGAUGAGAAUUUAAGUUAUUUACUCUAUUAAGUGCUUUAUAAAUUGUAUCAAGAGUUGUUUUUUAUUUUUCAAUUAAAAAACGCUGUAAAUUAUACAAGUACUGCUCAAUCCUAGUCACCAAUGAACUCAGUCGUCACUGAGCGACGAUCAAUUUGUUGCUAAAUAAGUGGCCGAUAGGGUGAAGGUUGGAGGGUGUCGCCAACGAGUGGGAUCGUGAGCGGUUGGGAUGGGUGGGGGUAGAAUAAUUUAAUUUGAUAAUAUUAUUAUUUAAAAUUAAAAAAAUAAAAGUAAGACUUUUACAUUUUGAAACUUAAUCUCUAAUAUUUGAUUUAGUGCAUACUUAAUGGUUGAGAUGUGAUUUUUUCUCACAGCAAAAUUACAAAGUAGGUAGACAAAGUUUGUUGACAAAAUAGAUGUUGACAAGAUGUAGAUCAUUAAUUUAUUUUGAUUUCAAAAUUUGAUUUUGAAAUGAGUUAUAUAGAUCUUGUCAACUCAUAUUUUGUCAACCUCAAAGACAUAGCACCACUCUAAAAUAAUGACUCGCCUGCUAAAGGUGCGAACCGUCUUAUAGAAUUACGACCGAGUUAAUGACUGGACCGGCUAGGGUUAACAAUGCUCUGAACAUUCGGAAACAGGAAAACUCUACUGUCUACUGGAAGUUUCCCGCUUAGGUAUUCUGCAACAAAGUUUUUAUUUUCUUCGUUCAAUUAUGUUCAUUAGAUCUCUUGUUUUUAUCAGUGAAAAUUUUGUUCAUGUUAAACACUGGUUAAGGCUUCUUCGAUUUUUUUUUUUAAUAUUUUUAUUUAGACUGAUUGAUAUUUAAUCAUUGAUGAAUAUUUGGAUUCCAGAAAAUCAUUAACGGAUAUUUGGAUUCUAUAUUCACUUUUCAACUUCUGUUCCCAUGGCGGUAUGUAGAUGCUUACUUCACUUUGAGUGGUUGGUUAUUCAUUUUCUGUGAACUUGCGAUAAUAAUGUGAUUUGAUUGUGUAGGUAGAAAGACUUUUCAAAAAUGAAGCUACCGAAGAAAAGGGUGAGCGAGCCAGAAUGGUGAGUCUUGUAUAAUAUAAUAAAAUAAAUCAUUUUGAAACAUUUUGUUAAUGGCGCUUUAUUAGUAGAAAAUUAGAUAUGAAUCACGGUGGACUGGCUUGUUUCUAGACUGACAAUUGUUUUUUGUGGGUGUUAAUAUAAGGCCUCCUUUAUUGGAGCAAUGGCGAUUGCUGACUUGGUGAAGACAACCUUGGGGCCUAAGGGGAUGGUAAAAUUGCUUGUUCUUCUGAUUACGUGUAUCGAUUGUCGAUAUUUUUCUUUGUUUACUCUCUGUGUAACUUCCCUUUGUAGGAUAAAAUUUUACAAUCAACUGGCAGAGGGCACAGUGUUACAGUUACGAAUGAUGGUGCCACCAUCCUAAAGUCUCUACAUAUUGACAACCCUGCUGCCAAAGUCCUUGUGGGUAUCCUUGAUGUUAAGUUAUUGUUGUGUUUCUUUGCUUCACCAUUUAAGGAAUAUGAUUUUUACCAUGAAAAAACUAACUUCUAUUGCUAUGUGUAAUGGUGGAUUUUGAAGCUUGAGCUGUUGAAUGUUACUUACACGAUAUAGGUCACAAUCCUAAAAAUGUUGGUGUUCAAGUGUUAUUUUCAAGUAUUCAAGUAUCUGCAGUCUAAAAUUACUCUUGUAUGAAAAUUGAACAUGGCAAGCUGAUUUGAUUCUUCAUUUCUUCUCAAAUCAGAUUUGUCCAGAAGCUAAAACUAUAGUAGUAGUCUGUAUAGCUAUUGUAUUAGCAACUAGCAAGCCUUGAUUCUAUUGUCAGACAUCUCAAAAGUCCAAGAUGAUGAAGUCGGCGAUGGAACCACUUCAGUUGUUGUCUUGGCUGGGGAGCUUUUGAGGGAGGCGGAGAAGCUGGUAAAUUCAAAAAUCCAUCCGAUGACAAUUAUUGCAGGUAAGUUCUAUGUUUUUUUUUAAUGAUCUUAUUUCUGAUUUCACCUUUCUUACUCAUUAUUUCGUGUGUGCUAUUUCCAUAGUGGUGGCAGGCACUUCAGGUUCUAUAAACUUCAUCAAUAUGAAAGAUAAACUAGCACAAGUUUAAUAUUGAUAUGAUAAUUACAGUUUCAUUUCCCCUGCUUUGUAUCUCUCUCUUUAAUCACCUUUCUACUUUUGCAAUGAUGGAAUUAGUGAGUUUCUUGGAGUUGACAACAAAUUUCUUUGCACAACAUUAGGGAUAGUUGAUUCUUUGUUAACUGUUGGUAUGUUUAUUUAUGCGAUAUAAAUAUGAUAUCCUGUCAUUCUUAGAUCCUAUGAAGGUAUAUUUGAU
Molecule: long non-coding RNA, 7491 nt
Filed under: Olea europaea (common olive)
Lineage: Eukaryota; Viridiplantae; Streptophyta; Magnoliopsida; Lamiales; Oleaceae
Description: long non-coding RNA (OEUR_LNC002701)
Source: RNAcentral